CGUGUAGGCGGCUAGUCAAGUCCGAUGUGAAAUCUCGGGGCUCAACCCCGAAACUGCAUUGGAAACUGGCUUGCUAGAGUCCGGAAGAGGAGAUUGGAAUUCCUGGUGUAGCGGUGAAAUGCGCAGAUAUCAGGAAGAACACCCGUGGCGAAGGCGGAUCUCUGGGACGGUACUGACGCUGAGACGCGAAAGCGUGGGGAGCGAACA
This 207-nucleotide ribosomal RNA is filed under the name uncultured bacterium. RNAcentral describes it as "partial 16S ribosomal RNA". It matches the Rfam family "Bacterial small subunit ribosomal RNA", at positions 568 to 774 of the family's 1533-position model. The record is from RNAcentral.